Lactuca sativa (garden lettuce) is the source of this 1392-nucleotide non-coding RNA. NCBI's taxonomy places the organism in Eukaryota, Viridiplantae, Streptophyta, Magnoliopsida, Asterales, Asteraceae. The record is from RefSeq and is a predicted model, not a curated record.
GACCAUCCUCCCACUCCUUCCGGUCUAAGAAUGGGAUUGGUGUCUUCUAUCUCAUUUAAUCUCCUUGUCCAAUGUGUUCUUGCCAAUCUCACUCACUGCCGAUUGCGUGAAUUUUGUAGUGGUCUGUAGUCAAUACUACCUUUGAUUUUUUAGAGUUGCAGGUUUUGGUACCGUCUUCAUCUUCCAUUGACGCUGACAGCUUAUCUUCCCAUUCCCCCUUACCCUUCUCUAUUAAUUGAAUACACUAGUGUGUGUAUUCUGUGCUUAUGGUGAUCUACAAUUUCAUCUAGGCACCAACAGAUGGAGACCAAGACCCUCUUUGUCGUUGGCGUCUUCCUAUUCACAGUUUGAAGUCGGUUCCAAGGAAAGCGACUAUACGUCCGUAUACAUCUACAGAAAACAUACGCCUCCAUAUUGUUGUUCUCUCGAUCGUUGCCUCCUCAAGCCUUCCCCUCUGAAGCCACCGUCGUUAGCCAUCUCCUCCCCACCUCCGGAGAUCGUCACAGCCCACAGCAACACCGGAGAUCGUUGCCUCCUCACGUGUUUGUUCCUGCUUCUACAUUCGUCGUUAUUUUUCCUGCUGUUUGCUUUUAUUCGUCUCUUUUUUUUUCCCUUCCUGUCGAUUUUUUUGCUGAUGUCGAUCUUCCUUCUUUUCCCUUUGUUUUCUGGUAUAUGUAGAAUUGGAACUUAAAAGUUGUGGAUUUUCAAUUUUGUGCUAAUGUCGAUUUUUCUUGUGCUGUUGUCGACCUCAGAAAGCGAAGGUCGACCUGUACACCUCAAAUCGGCGUGAAGAGGCUGUGGUAGUGAGGAGUCCUUCCUGUCGAAGCCACUGUGCGUCAACCUUCCGAUCAGAAGAUUUUGCUUCAAACAACUUUAUCCAAAGGUACAGAUUAAGCUCAAAACCCAGUUCAUCUGCAAUUUAGAUCUGUCUCUUGAAUCAAGAGCACAUGAGCAACCGUAAACAUAUCAGAAAACCACGAAGGGCAGCCAUCAUCACAAGGGCAAAAAAGUCAACACAGGAGCAUCUGCGAUCCAUCCCAUCCAAAUUGAAGCAAUCACAAAGAAACCUGAAACAUCACGAUAAACCAAAAAAUAUACUCGCAUGCGAAUAUAAGAUUUUCAAAGUCAGAAUUUCAGAUGCAUCAUCAGAUAGCUUGCUUCACUUCAGCAGCAAGCUAUACAAGAAAUCUGAAAUCUCAUAAAAUUUUAUCACGGUUAAUAUUUUCCAACUUCAGCUAUUCUUGGUAUGCAAAAAUUAUAGUUACUUGGAAAACUUAUUCCAAAACCUACUGUAUAACAAAAUUAAAUGUUCCUUGGACCUGCAACAUAAAAAUGAUACAAAACAGGUCACCAAACGGUAAAAGUAAAAGACAUGAGUACAUUUUAUCAGAA